RNAcentral lists this ribosomal RNA (350 nucleotides) under uncultured eukaryote. RNAcentral's name for it is "SSU rRNA". It matches the Rfam family "Eukaryotic small subunit ribosomal RNA", at positions 567 to 924 of the family's 1831-position model. The record is from RNAcentral.
CCAGCAGCUGCGGUAAUUCCAGCUCCAAUAGCGUAUAUUUAAGUUGUUGCAGUUAAAAAGCUCGUAGUUGGAUUUCGGGUGGGUUGUAGCGGUCUGCCACUGGUAUGUACUGCUAUGGCUCACCUUUCUGCUGGGGACGGGCUCCUGGGCUUAACUGUCUGGGACUCGGAAUCAGCGAAGUGACCUUGAGCAAAAGUGAGUGUUCAAAGCAAGCCUACGCUCUGAAACAUUUAGCAUGGAAUCACACGAUAGGACUCUGGCCUAUCUUGUUGGUCUGUAGGACCGGAGUAAUGAUUAAGAGGGACAGUCGGGGGCAUUCGUAUUUCAUUGUCAGAGGUGAAAUUCUUGGA